UCAUUAGAGGACUGGAACUUUCAGCCCCAUCCCCCAAGCUCCAAGGAGAGAGGAAGGAGGCUAGAGAUGGAGUUCAGUCACCAACGACCAACGAUUUAAUCAGUUGUGCUUAUAUAAUAGAACCUCCAUUAAAAAAAUUCUAAAUGAUGGGAUGUGGAGAGCUUCCUGGUUGGGCCUAUACUGUCUGUGUAUAGAGAAGAGAAACUUGGUAUCUGAAGACAUCAGAAAAAGAGUCUACUCUGAGAAAUCAUCCGUGAUCCCUCCAAGAAAUUUUGCCUUUAAAUGUUCACAGUACCCACUUGUUUAAUUUCUAGCUUAGUUGAUUUCAGAUUCACAAUUUUUUCCUUGUAAAUUAAGGAAGCUUUGGGAGUGCAAACUCUGAACCACUCUGUCAAGGCAGUUUUGAGAAGCCACUCUGCUCAGCCUAGUGCAUUUCACAUGCAUAAGCGUUAAGUAUUGGAAAUGAGGUUGAAGGAAAGAAAUUAAACUGGAUGACUUUCUAGAUCUAUGUAAGUUGGAUCUUAAUGAGACUUUAUGAAAAAUAAUUCCUGGACCACCUGACCUACCUAUAUUCAGUUGUUGGUUUGAAGGAGAGCUGUGCAGAAUGCCUUUCCUUCUGUCGUCAAUAAGAAGAAAGGCUUCGCAGAGGCAUCGCCAGAAGACUUUCUCUGAAGUCUUUUUGGGUAUGAAAACAUGAGUUGAUCUUGUCCAUCUCUGUAUGCUGAGCACAUUGAACAGUGCACUGCAUGGUAAGCUUGCAAAUAUUUGUGGAAGGAAUGAAUGAAAUCUAUAAAGUUAAAAGAGAAAACCAUCACAGCCAGUUUAAAGAGAAGGUGAUGGUUGGUUUAUAAGCACGUUACAGAG
Molecule: long non-coding RNA, 864 nt
Organism: Equus caballus (horse)
Lineage: Eukaryota; Metazoa; Chordata; Mammalia; Perissodactyla; Equidae
Source: RefSeq, a predicted model, not a curated record